RNAcentral lists this ribosomal RNA (207 nucleotides) under uncultured bacterium. Its description in RNAcentral is "partial 16S ribosomal RNA". It matches the Rfam family "Bacterial small subunit ribosomal RNA", at positions 568 to 774 of the family's 1533-position model. The record is from RNAcentral.
CAGGUAGGCUGUUUUACAAGUCUGACGUGAAAUCCCAGGGCUCAACCCUGGAACUGCGUUGGAAACUGUAUGACUGGAGUACCGGAGAGGUGAGGGGAAUUCUCGGUGUAAGGGUGAAAUCUGUAGAUAUCGAGAGGAACACCAGUGGCGAAGGCGCCUCACUGGCCGGUUACUGACGCUGAGCUGCGAAAGCAAGGGGAGCAAACA